AAAGAGCUUGUAGGCGGUUUGUCGCGUCUGCUGUGAAAGACCGGGGCUUAACUCCGGUUCUGCAGUGGGUACGGGCAGGCUAGAGUGUGGUAGGGGAGACUGGAAUUCCUGGUGUAGCGGUGAAAUGCGCAGAUAUCAGGAGGAGCACCGAUGGCGAAGGCAGGUCUCUGGGCCAUAACUGACGCUGAGAAGCGAAAGCAUGGGGAGCAAACAGGAUUAGAUACCCUGGUAGUCCAUGCCGUAAACGUUGGGCGCUAGGUGUGGGGCUCAUUCCACGAGUUCCGUGCCGCAGCUAACGCAUUAAGCGCCCCGCCUGGGGAGUACGGCCGCAAGGCUAAAACUCAAAGGAAUUGACGGGGGCCCGCACAAGCGGCGGAGCAUGCGGAUUAAUUCGAUGCAACGCGAAGAACCUUACCAAGGCUUGACAUGCACCGGACGACUGCAGAGAUGUGGUUUCCCUUUGUGGCUGGUGUGCAGGUGGUGCAUGGUUGUCGUCAGCUCGUGUCGUGAGAUGUUGGGUUAAGUCCCGCAACGAGCGCAACCCUCGUUCCAUGUUGCCAGCGGGUUAUGCCGGGGACUCAUGGGAGACUGCCGGGGUCAACUCGGAGGAAGGUGGGGAUGACGUCAAAUCAUCAUGCCCCUUAUGUCUUGGGCUUCACGCAUGCUACAAUGGCUGGUACAGAGGGCUGCAAUACCGUGAGGUGGAGCGAAUCCCUUAAAACUGGUCUCAGUUCGGAUUGGGGUCUACAACUCGACCCCA
Molecule: ribosomal RNA, 760 nt
Filed under: uncultured Actinomycetes bacterium
Lineage: Bacteria; Bacillati; Actinomycetota; Actinomycetes
Description: bacterial SSU rRNA
Rfam family: Bacterial small subunit ribosomal RNA
Source: RNAcentral